This 495-nucleotide ribosomal RNA is filed under the name uncultured bacterium. RNAcentral describes it as "partial 16S ribosomal RNA". It matches the Rfam family "Bacterial small subunit ribosomal RNA", at positions 29 to 506 of the family's 1533-position model. The record is from RNAcentral.
AUGAACGCUGGCGGCGUGCCUAAUACAUGCAAGUCGAGCGAACAGACGAGGAUCUUGCUCCUCUGACGUUAGCGGCGGACGGGUGAGUAACACGUGGCUAACCUACCUAUAAGACUAGGAUAACUUCGGGAAACCUGAUCUAAUACCUGAUAUUAUAUUUAACCGCAUGGUUCAAUAGUGAAAGACGGUUUUGCUUUCACUUAUAGAUGGAUCCGCUCCGCAUUAGCUAGUUGGUAAGGUAACGGCUUACCAAGGCAACGAUGCGUAGCCGACCUGAGAGGGGGAUCGGCCACACUGGAAGUGAGACACGGUACAGACUCCUAAGGGAGGCAGCAGUAGGGAAUCGUCCGAGAUGGGCGAAAGCCUGACGGAGCAACGCCGCGUGAGUGAUGAAGGUCUUCGGAUCGUAAAACGCUGUUAUUAGGGAAGAACAAAUGUGUAAGUAACUAUGCACGUCUUGACGGUACCUAAUAAGAAAGCCACGGCUAACUACGU